RNAcentral lists this ribosomal RNA (497 nucleotides) under uncultured bacterium. RNAcentral's name for it is "partial 16S ribosomal RNA". It matches the Rfam family "Bacterial small subunit ribosomal RNA", at positions 29 to 507 of the family's 1533-position model. The record is from RNAcentral.
AGUGAACGCUGGCGGUAUGCCUAAUACAUGCGAGUCGAACGGCAGCACAGUAAGAUCUUGCCCUUACGGUUAGCGACUGGCGGGCGGGUGAGACGUACAUCGGCAUCUACUUUUUCUGGGGUGAUAACGUGGGGAAACUUACGCUACCACCUCAUACGUCGUACCGGUUAAAGCAAUAGAGCAUCGCACCUUUGCCGACUGUAAUAGCUGAUUCCGGGUCGCCUUAGCUAGUUGGUAAGGUAACGGCUCACCAAGGCGACGAUGCGUAGCCGACCUGAGAGGGUGAUCAGCCACACUGGAACUGAGACACGGUCCAGACUCCUACGGGAGGCAGCAGUGGGGAAUAUUGCGCAAUGGGCGAAAGCCUGACCCAGCCACGCCGCGUGAGUGAAGAAGGCCUUCGGGUCGUAAAGCCCUUUUGUUGGGAAAGAAAAGAAGUGGGUUAAUCCCCCGCUGUUCUGACGGUACCCAAACAGUAAGCAACGGCUAACUUCGUG